GAUGAACGCUAGCGAUAGGCUUAACACAUGCCAGUCGAGGGGCAGCGAGGGUAGCAAUACCUGUCGGCGACCGGCGCACGGGUGAGUAACGCGUAUGUAACCUGCCCGCAACAGGGGGAUAACCCGGCGAAAGUCGGACUAAUACCGCAUAAAACAGGGGUCCCGCAUGGGAAUAUUUGUUAAAGAUUUAUCGGUUGCGGAUGGGCAUGCGUACCAUUAGGUAGUUGGUGAGGUAACGGCUCACCAAGCCUUCGAUGGUUAGGGGUUCUGAGAGGAAGGUCCCCGACAGUGGUACUGGGACACGGAGCAGACUCCUACGGGAGGCAGCAGUGAGGAAGAUUGGUGAAUGGGCGAGAGCCUGAACCAGCCAAGUCGCGUGAAGGAUGACUGCCCUAUGGGUUGUAAACUUCUGUUACAAGGGAAUAAAAUGAGGUACGUGUAUUUUAUUGCAUGUACCUUGUGAAUAAGCAUCGGCUAACUCCGUG
This 485-nucleotide ribosomal RNA is filed under the name uncultured bacterium. RNAcentral describes it as "partial 16S ribosomal RNA". It matches the Rfam family "Bacterial small subunit ribosomal RNA", at positions 28 to 507 of the family's 1533-position model. The record is from RNAcentral.